RNAcentral lists this ribosomal RNA (481 nucleotides) under uncultured bacterium. RNAcentral's name for it is "partial 16S ribosomal RNA". It matches the Rfam family "Bacterial small subunit ribosomal RNA", at positions 28 to 523 of the family's 1533-position model. The record is from RNAcentral.
GACGAAUGCUGGCUGCGUGCUUAACACAUGCAAGUCGAACGGUGAAGGGGAGCUUGCUCCCCGGAUCAGUGGCGAACGGGUGAGUAACACGUGGGCAACCUGCCCCUCACUCUGGGAUAACUCCGGGAAACCGGGGCUAAUACCGGAUACGACCGGGAGCGACAUCGCUCCUGGUGGAAAGAACUUCGGUGAGGGAGGGGCCCGCGGCCUAUCAGCUAGUUGGUGGGGUAACGGCCCACCAAGGCGACGACGGGUAGCCGGCCUGAGAGGGCGACCGGCCACACUGGGACUGAGACACGGCCCAGACUCCGACGGGAGGCAGCAGUGGGGAAUAUUGCGCAAUGGGCGAAAGCCUGACGCAGCGACGCAGCGUGAGGGACGAAGGCCUUCGGGUUGUAAACCUCUUUCAGCGGGGACGAAGCGAAAGUGACGGUACCCGCAGAAGAAGCACCGGCUAACUACGUGCCAGCCGCCGCCGUAA